This 236-nucleotide unclassified non-coding RNA is filed under the name uncultured fungus. Its description in RNAcentral is "sequence contains ITS1, 5.8S rRNA gene". The stretch from base 188 to 236 matches the Rfam family "5.8S ribosomal RNA", at positions 1 to 49 of the family's 154-position model. Lineage: Eukaryota; Fungi. The record is from RNAcentral.
UCUCCGUAGGUGAACCUGCGGAGGGAUCAUUACAAGUGACCCCGGUCUAACCACCGGGAUGUUCAUAACCCUUUGUUGUCCGACUCUGUUGCCUCCGGGGCGACCCUGCCUUCGGGCGGGGGCUCCGGGUGGACACUUCAAACUCUUGCGUAACUUUGCAGUCUGAGUAAACUUAAUUAAUAAUUACAACUUUCAACAACGGAUCUCUUGGUUCUGGCAUCGAUGAAGAACGCAGC